AUUGAACGCUGGCGGCAGGCCUAACACAUGCAAGUCGAACGAGUGGCGGACGGGUGAGUAAUGUCUGGGAAACUGCCUGAUGGAGGGGUAUAACUACUGUAAACGGUAGCUAAUACCGCAUACCAUCGGAUGUGCCCCGAUGGGUUUAGCUAGUAGUUGGGGUAACGGCUCACCUAGGCGACGAUCCCUAGCUGGUCUGAGAGGAUGACCGGCCGCCCUGGAACUGAGAGACGGUCCAGACUCCUACGGGAGGCAGCAGUGGGGAGUAUUGCACAAUGGGCGCAAGCCUGAUGCAGCCAUGCCGCGUGUAUGAAGAAGGCCUUCGGGUUGUAAAGUACUUUCAGCGGGGAGGCGUUACCCGCAGAAGAAGCACCGGCUAACUCCGUGCCAGCAGCCGCGGUAAUUC
RNAcentral lists this ribosomal RNA (406 nucleotides) under uncultured bacterium. RNAcentral's name for it is "partial 16S ribosomal RNA". It matches the Rfam family "Bacterial small subunit ribosomal RNA", at positions 30 to 526 of the family's 1533-position model. The record is from RNAcentral.